CCAAUAGCGUAUAUUAAAGUUGUUGCAGUUAAAAAGCUCGUAGUUGAAUUUCGGGAUUUAUCCGUCGGUCGGGCUUUUGGGUCUGUACUGGCGUGAUGGAUUCCUACCUUCUGAAUAACCGGCAUGUCAUUAAUUUGGUGCGCUGGGGAAGCAGGACUGUUACCUUGAAAAAAUUAGAGUGCUUAAAGCAGGCUAUUGCCUGAAUACAUUAGCAUGGAAUAAUGAAAUAGGACGGCAUGGUUCUAUUUUGUUGGUUUCUAGGAUCACCGUAAUGAUUAAUAGGGAUAGUUGGGGGCAUUAGUAUUCAAUUGUCAGAGGUGAAAUUCUUGGAUUUAUUGAGGACUAACUUCUGCGAAAGCAUUUGCCAAGGAUGUUUUCAUUAAUCAAGAACGAAAGUUAGGGGAUCGAAGACGAUCAGAUACCGUCGUAGUCUUAACCAUAAACUAUGCCGACUAGGGAUCGGACGAUGUUAAUUUUUUAAUGACUCGUUCGGCGCCUUACG
Molecule: ribosomal RNA, 502 nt
Filed under: uncultured Glomeromycotina
Lineage: Eukaryota; Fungi; Glomeromycota
Description: partial small subunit ribosomal RNA
Rfam family: Eukaryotic small subunit ribosomal RNA
Source: RNAcentral